GAUUACGUCAUCUGACAUUGAUUGUUGAUAAAAUAUUGGUGAAUUGAUUCGAUGUUUUUGGUGUUUUAACGAAUAUUUUACACUGACAACGUCUGCUUUGACAAAACUUAUAUAUAACUGGAUUAUUCGGGUUAGGCACUUCACCAUGCACUCUUGAUGUAAAGUACUCCAACAUUUGGGAUUAUGCCCAACAAGUGCACUUUUCCCAUCAUUCUCAACCGGUUGGUCCAAUAUGUUUGAGGACACCAAGAAUGUUCCAUGCGUUUGGUGUUUGUGUAGAGAGAUCAGGACUUCAUGGAAGUGUCAGUCUCAACAUGCUUGGUACUUUUAUAUCUGGAAAGUGAAAAACAAUGCAACAGGUUGUCUAAGUGUACUGUCCUGAAGUCAUCAAGAUGUGGGCACAAUAUCCUACCCAGAAAAUCCCUAGGAAGUCAUUUCUUAAGUUAAGCCCUCAAACUGUUAUCCAAAUACCACCAUUUUUGUGCAAGUGCAAUGGAGCCAAGUGUUAUAACAUGUAAAGAAUAUAUUAACUCUGUGGAGGUAAAAAUGUAUUUACUGAAACAAUUGCCUCCCAGAGGUCUUUUACUUGAAGUACAGUAAUGAUGCAGCAAGACAAUAGUAUCUAUUUGAACAAAUUAGGCAAUUCUUCAAAUCUGACAUAGCUAAAAUACUGUGUGGCCAAAACCAGUUAUCCCGAAAACAGAAAUAAAGUUGGAUAUUGACAAUUAUGUUAAUAAGGUGGAAAGAGAAAGAGCAGUCUUUUACUCUUGAGUAUAAUUGGAGUUCCUAUAACAUAAUGGUCCUGUAUGGACUGUCAUUAUUUUCUUUAUUUCAAAUAUAGUUUAUGAUACAAGUAGAUGCUUCAUAAGAUAAGACUGCAAGUGUGUUGCAUAACUGGUGCUCAAAGGACUAAUGCUAUAUUAACAAGUGUGUGGAUCAUUAUGCAAAUAUAUUAUUUAAUGGCUGCCUACAUUAUUUUUGGAUGUCAGUUUACCAGUUACUAAUUUCCAUCAUUUUUACAAAAAUUUUAUUAAAUUAAGUUUAGUGUAAUACAACAUUUGUCAUUUUACUCUAAGUUAUAGAAUUCUAUUGAACCUAUGCAUGUUAUGAAUUGAUCAACUGUCAACUUAUCUUAAGCUUUGAUCUAGAUUGAAAAUGACUGUAUGAAAAUGUAAAGUAACAUUAAGCUUUAGUACUUGUUGUCAAAUUUUAAACAUUUUAUAGUUGUAGAAUAUGAAAAAUACUUUAUCUAUAACAAUGAUAGGUCAGUUGAAUUUUUAUGUUAGUGUAGAAUCACAUUGUAAAUUAUCACCAAUCCUUAAAAUUGUUAAAAGAAGCAGCAAAAUCAAAGAAUAUUCAAUGGUAGCUAGGCAACCAAUAUUCCCUUCAGUUGGGAAGGAUUUUAAACAGGUGCAUCAUAAUAAAAAUACUUUAUAUGUUUGAUCACAUUGUAACUCUAUAAUUGAAAAAUAAUCAUCACUAAGUUAUAAAAUAUUAAAAUAUUGAACCUUAAAUGUACCUGAGAACAUGAUAUUAGAAGUAUCAUUUUUAGCUCGACUUUUCUAUGAAAAGGGGAGCUAUCCUACUCGCCCCGGCGUCGGCGUCGGCGUUGGCGUCACACCUUGGUUAAGUUUUUCGUACCACCCCACUUUAUUUCAGAAGUAUUACAAGUAUGGCUUUGAAACUUACCAUACUUGUUCACCAUCAUAACCUCCAUCUACAGACAAGAGUACAUAACUCUGUCAAGGUUUUUGACAGAAUUAUGGCCCUUUUUUGACUUAGAAAGUGUAUUGAGCUUGGUUAAGUUUUUUGUACCACCUCACUUUAUUUCAAAACCAUUGGAGGUAUUGCUUUGAAACUGACCAUACUUGUUUACCAUCACGACCUUCAUCAACAGACAAGAGGACAUAACUCUGUCAAGGUUUUUGACAGAAUUAUGCCCCUUUUUGACUUAGAAAAUACAUUGAAUAUGGGUAAAAUCCACUUAUUGCCUUAACCCUUUGAGAUAUUGCUUUGAAACUUUUAAUGCUAUUUCACAUCAUUACCCCCAUCUGUACGCAAGAGAAGGUAAAUCUGUCAAGGAUUUGUUUUAAAAAUUAAGGCCUUUUAUCGACUUAGAAUCUUGGUUAAGUUUUUUGUACCAGUCCACUUUUUGACUGAACUGUUUGAGAUAUUAAUUUGAAAGUUGGAAUACUUGUUUACAAUCAUGAUUCCCAAACAUGUCCAGGAGAAGGUAAUUCUGUCAAAGAUUUUAUUUGAAUUAUGGCCCUUAACUGUCAAUGUUUUGUAUUAUAGGCAAGCACUAAAAAACUUAAAAAAUCUAAAAAAAUUCAUUCCUAUCCACUGAACCUGCAGUGUUCAAGGGUAUCACACAAUUCAGUAAAAUAAUUCUUCACUAAAUAUCUUAAUGCUCAUGGCCAUUGUUCACUUUAAAAAUACAGAGAUUCUUGUAUUGCCUUUUACUGCAAAAACUUUUUUUAUUGGCAAGCAAUAAAAAAGUCGAGCGCGCUGUCUUACGGACAGCUCUUGUUAUUUUAUAUUAUGGAAUGGUGAGGCAGGCUGUUCUCUGAAUACCUUAUUAAGUUCAGUUACACAUUAUCUGUGGUACUGUUUUCAUUUUUUUAUAAUAGCACAAAUUGCUAUUUUGCAACUAAGUUGUAAUCUCCUGUAUGCCUGUAAAAAUUUAGAAAUUUAUAAAAAAAAAAUUAUUCAUUGGUUGCUUAGCAACUUAAUUAUAUGCAGAGACAGAUUUAAGUAAGGAACAUUUUUUGUAGGAAUUUUCUUUAUGUCAUUUCAAUUAAAUAUAAUGCUAGUCAAUUCAAAGUCCUUACAUUGUUGUAAAACAGUGUAGUUAACACCAGAUGUUACUGAACACCCUUUUAUGAAAUUAUGUAUAUUAUCUAUAUAAAUUCAAAACCUAUAGUAAAGUGAGUUUUAGGAUACUUUGAUCCAAGAACUAUUAUUAAGAUUAUAUUUGCAGUUUUAAUAGUCGUAAUUUGUUUUUUUGUAAUCAUGCUGCUUUGUUCAUGGUAUUUUGAGAUCUUUUUUAUUCAAACUUAAAAUUUGUAAAAUUUAAAAGGAAAUUAUGGAAGAUAUUGUGGUUGCUUGGCAACACUGAUUAAUUUUUACUUAUUGGUUAGGUAUUAUGUAAAUCAGUUAUACAGCAGAUAUAUGUAAUAUGGAAAGUAACAGUGAUUUGAUCAAAUGCUUAUUGGUUAUUGUAAAACAUAUGUAGAGCAAUAUACAUGGCAAAGAUACUGAGUUCUGCUAAAAUUUGCAUCACUUACUAACACUAGUCAAGUGUACAGAACAUGGAUUGUAUAUCGUCAAUGGAAAAUUAUUGAAUAGUAAUUAAUAGGCAUUGUUUAUAAUUUUUUUGAAAAUGUAUUUAUUUCUGCUGCUUUGUUAGCUGUAUUUUACCAAGAAAUUUGUAUAUUUUCAAAAUAAAUUACAAAAAUUUAGAAUAUUCCAUGGUUGCUAGGUAACAGAAUAU
Molecule: long non-coding RNA, 3493 nt
Organism: Ruditapes philippinarum (Manila clam)
Lineage: Eukaryota; Metazoa; Mollusca; Bivalvia; Venerida; Veneridae
Exons: 3
Source: RefSeq, a predicted model, not a curated record